UAAAGAUCUUCAUCUUGAUUGUCUCAUCUUGAAGAAUGUAACAAUCGCAAUGUCUUGUCCUGUAUCAAAGUAGAAAGAAUUUACCUCAAGAAAGUACUAGACUCCUGGUUAUCACUAAUUAUUCAAUUAAGCUUCAAAAUAAGAGAAGCCCUAAGUUUAUAUAUAAAAAUUUCUUUUUUGGAGCAAUUACACCAAAUACAUAAGCCUCAAGUAACCAACAACACCCUAAAUAUGAUAAAAUCCUCUAAAACCUUGUAUAUCCUUAUGUGGAAAUUUUUUUGAACUUCAAUACCUUAUAUCUCUUGAUCUAAUUAUCCAAAAUUAUUCAAAUUAUACAUGAAGUAUUCAUAAAUUUAUAUCAAUUUCCACAACAAAUUUCAACUACAAAUUCAUUGCAGAUUUUAAGAUAUCACCAAAACCCUAACAGUAGCUUUUAAUCCUAGUUUUUAUACACCUGCAUGCAAUUUUCUUCAUAUUUCAUAAAUUAAACACCCAAAUGCCACAAAGCUUGUAUGUAUGGUUUUUUAAUAUAAUUAUGUACCUUUUUCAAAAGAUUUG
RNAcentral lists this long non-coding RNA (558 nucleotides) under Physcomitrium patens. Its description in RNAcentral is "long non-coding RNA (PPAT_LNC007971)". Lineage: Eukaryota; Viridiplantae; Streptophyta; Bryopsida; Funariales; Funariaceae. The record is from RNAcentral.